UUAAUCCUGAGGAGGGAAUGCCAAAAGUUCUGGAAUUUAUUGUGACAUGAAAAUCACCAUCCUUCACAUGGAGAUGGAUUGGCAUGUCACUGAAGACUAUAAAUUUCACUGCUAUCAUGGACCCGUGACACUUUGAAGACUUCACCUCCAAUCCUCUGGUGCAAUUAAUCUUACCAAAACGUUCAAGAUGCUUGCUAGCUCUGGUUCAUCUGUUCUGAUUAACACGAAGUCAUCAAUAUGGUAGACUGGUAC
Molecule: long non-coding RNA, 252 nt
Filed under: Mustela putorius furo (domestic ferret)
Lineage: Eukaryota; Metazoa; Chordata; Mammalia; Carnivora; Mustelidae
Description: lncRNA (ENSMPUG00000030783.1)
Source: RNAcentral